This 638-nucleotide long non-coding RNA is filed under the name Lupinus angustifolius (narrow-leaved blue lupine). Its description in RNAcentral is "long non-coding RNA (LANG_LNC003068)". The record is from RNAcentral. Lineage: Eukaryota; Viridiplantae; Streptophyta; Magnoliopsida; Fabales; Fabaceae.
GGUUGAAUCGGUAAGUAUUAAUUUUUCUAUUUGUAAUUUAUAUUAAAUUUUAAAUUGAUAUUCAUUAUUCUAAUAUUUUUCCAACCUUUUUCCAGUACAAUUUUAUUAGAACGAUUCAAGAUCAGUGCGCUCCUACAAACGUGUUUCCAAAUCUCAUGCAGAUACUAAAUGACGUCUACCUAAACUGCAAUGAGAUAAUAGAAGUGUUUGUUCAACUACUUCCAACGGCCUUCUCCUCUACUACUUACCAAACUCCUCCUACAUGACAGUUUGAUAUGUCUGCUACACCUGAGUUCCCGCAGCAUUAAGAGAGUCAAGCUCAGACAGAUACUUAUCAGCAGACAUGUACUGAAACUCCUGCUCCUCUACAACAACAACUUUUCGGGUUUGAUGUUUUGGAGCAAUAGGUGACUACUCCUUCUCCCACUUCUCAUCUUUUUCACAAUUUCAAGAAAUGUCAUCAAUGUUUGGCACAACUUUAAAUACUCCAUUGUCGACAUUCAACUCUCAACAAUAUUAUCAAUCGACAAUGUCUUCACAACCUGAAGAUGAUGACGAAGAUGAUGACGACAAAGAUGAGGAGGAGCCACAACUAAUUAGAUGUGGAAGUGGACAAGCAAGACAAUGUCAACCACCAC